Molecule: long non-coding RNA, 692 nt
Organism: Nycticebus coucang (slow loris)
Lineage: Eukaryota; Metazoa; Chordata; Mammalia; Primates; Lorisidae
Exons: 3
Source: RefSeq, a predicted model, not a curated record
CAGCAUUUAAAGCCAGGCAUCUGGGUGCAGUAAUUGAAAAAUUGGUUGCAAAUAGAAAAGAGAAGAGGCCCAGGACCAAGCUCUGAAACUCUCUGACAUGACAAGGUCAGAGAAGAAGGAAGAGGUAAAGUCUGAGAAGCGACCCGUGUGACAGGAGGGACACCAGGAGAGUGUGUGUCUCGGGACCCAGAGAAGCACGUGACCAAGAAAAGGAGGGAUCAGCUGUGGAAGAGGGGGACAGCGGUCUGAGCACGGGGCUAACGACGUGGGGUGGCCGGUGUCCUGGGCGAGGAGCAGUGCAGAUACAGUUGGUGGAUCCCGGAGAGCUGACAAGAACAGACUCAGAGGGAGGAACCACUCCUCCGAGCAGGACUGUGGAGAAGGGAAGGACUCUGGGAAUAUGGAAGGGGGAGAGACCACAGUGAGACUUGCAAGUCGGCGUUGAAAAGGUCCAGGACAGGUGUCAUAAUGACGGUUCAAGUCCAUUUUGGGAGACCACCUGACCAGGAUGUUUUACAGGCAUCCAAGUUCCAAGUGGGAAAUUGGACUCCAUGAAUGUUAAGAUCCCUUCUGAGCCUGGUGUGGUGAUGUCAGCCUGUGGUCCCAGCACUUUGAGAGUCCAAGGCAGGAGGAUGGAUUGAGGCCAGGAGUUUGAGACUAGACUAGACAAUGCAGCCAAACCCCCUCCCAAA